GCUCUUGUAGUGUAGUGGUUAUCACGCAUCCUUUACACGGAUGAGGUCUCCGGUUCGAACCCGGACAAGAGCA
The sequence is a transfer RNA, 73 nucleotides long. It matches the Rfam family "tRNA". Rfam says of the family: Transfer RNA (tRNA) molecules are approximately 80 nucleotides in length. Their secondary structure includes four short double-helical elements and three loops (D, anti-codon, and T loops). The record is from Rfam.